This 77-nucleotide transfer RNA is filed under the name Bacteroides fragilis. RNAcentral describes it as "tRNA-OTHER". RNAcentral also lists the same sequence under 1 other name. Lineage: Bacteria; Pseudomonadati; Bacteroidota; Bacteroidia; Bacteroidales; Bacteroidaceae. The record is from RNAcentral.
GGAGCGUAGCUUAAAGGAUAGAGCAGCGGCGCGCAGUAAAGACAGCAGUAUAGGCGGUUCGAUUCCGCCUCGCUCCA